UACGUAGGUGGCAAGCGUUGUCCGGAUUUAUUGGGUUUAAAGGGUGCGUAGGCGGCCUAUUAAGUCAGUGCUGAAAUAUCCCGGCUUAACCGGGAGGGUGGCAUUGAUACUGAUGGGCUUGAGUAAAGUUGAGGUAGGCGGAAUUGACGGUGUAGCGGUGAAGUGCUUAGAUAUCGUCAAGAACACCUAUUGCGAAGGCAGCUUACUAAGCUUUAACUGACGCUGAUGCACGAAAGUGUGGGGAUCAAACAGG
This 253-nucleotide ribosomal RNA is filed under the name uncultured bacterium. RNAcentral describes it as "partial 16S ribosomal RNA". It matches the Rfam family "Bacterial small subunit ribosomal RNA", at positions 524 to 776 of the family's 1533-position model. The record is from RNAcentral.